CCUCCCCCCCCGUGAGGGCUCCGGGCAGAAAUGAAUCAGCGCGGCCGCUGCCGUGUGUGCGGCCACCGCGUUUCCUGUGUUCCCAGCUCCUCCUCCUCCCGCAGCGGCGAGAAGCGGAGUGCGGGGCCGCGGCUCUCAGGGAACCGCUCCCCUCCCCCCCCCCCCGAGGGUAUUUUAAAGCCCCCCGUGACGUUCCGGGUUUCCCUGUGGUGGCAUCGCACGAGCAGCCGGCGAGCGAGAGUCCGGCCGCUGCUGCUCCCCGCCAGCCGGAGCCGGGGGCAGCCGCGUGUGUGGUGGGGGGGGGGGGGAGCGGCCGAAAACCCGGCGUGGAGCUCUCGCAGUCGCCUCCGCCGAGCUCCGUUUACGGCUGAAGGAGCAAACACCACACUAUUGCCAAAGAGAAGAACCUCUCAUAGACCCACCUCCCCUCCCAACUACUUAGGUCCAGAUAACCUUUGUGUUCAGAGCAGCAUAAGGGGACCAGAAAACAGCCAGAUCUCCAUACUGUGCUACAGCUAACUUCAGUGUGUAUAAGUUACUACUAACUGGAGCUGGCUGAAAUGUGGGAUUUCCAGUUUAUGAGAAAUUUUGAUAUUUUGAAAUUUCCUGCAAA
Dermochelys coriacea (leatherback sea turtle) is the source of this 613-nucleotide long non-coding RNA. RefSeq lists it as uncharacterized. The record is from RefSeq and is a predicted model, not a curated record. NCBI's taxonomy places the organism in Eukaryota, Metazoa, Chordata, Testudines, Dermochelyidae. The transcript has 3 exons.